AUCUCAUAUCAAAUUUACACCAUAAAUUGAUAAGAUCACCGAAUCCCACCAUCGUUCGCCACAAUUGUCCUGCGUUUAGUUCUUGAGAGAAAAGAAAGAAAGCAGAGCAAAGCAAUCAUGGUGAUGAAAGUUUAUGGAGCCGUCUUCUCCACCGCGGCGAUGAGGGUCUUCGCUGCCCUCUACGAGAAGGACCUCGAGUUCGAGUUAGUCCCCGUCGACAUGCGAGCCGGCGAGCACAAGAAGGAGCACUUUCUCGCCAUCAACCCUUUUGGUCAAGUCCCGGCCUUUGAGGACGGAGAUGUGAAGCUAUUCGAAUCGAGGGCAAUUACUCAGUACAUUGCUCAUGUUUACGCGGGCAAGGGCACUCCGCUCGUCUAUGAGGGCAAACCCAUGGCAACGGUGGGCGUGUGGAUGGAGGUCGAGGCCCACCAGUUUGACCCCUUGGCGUCGAAGCUGCAGUGGGAGCUCGUGUACAAGCCGAAGUUCGGCAUGGCCACGGACGCUGCUGUAGUGGAGGAGAACGAGCCCAAGCUCGCCAAGGUCCUCGACGUCUACGAGGCCCGGCUGAGCCAGUCCAAGUACUUGGGCUGCGACUACUUCACCCUGGCUGACCUCCACCACCUCCCGACCAUGACUAACCUGAUGGGAACACCAUUGAAGAAGCUGUUCGAUGCUCGCCCCAAGGUGAGCGCUUGGGCGGCCGACAUCAUGGCCCGGCCUGCUUGGGCCAAGGUUCUUGCCAUGAGGAACCAGCAGUGAAUCAAAGGUUCUAGUCCAAGUUGUCUGGUGUUGGCGGCAAUAACAAUAGACCUUCUCUCUCUCUUUCUUCUAUGUGAGUUUUUAAUAUUUUUUUUCUUGUUCAUCCUGUCCUUCGUUUGCCUGAACUUUGGAGGAUUGUCUUCAAUCAUCAAAGUUGGAGACGAUGAUGAGGCUGAUGUCUUGUGAUUAUUGUCUGUGGUGAGCAAUAAAGACUUUGACUGAUAAAGAAAGCGUUAUGUUUCUAA
This is an RNA transcript of Rhodamnia argentea, 1004 nucleotides long. It is a transcript of the gene named glutathione S-transferase-like, with no coding region annotated. The transcript has 9 exons. The record is from RefSeq and is a predicted model, not a curated record. Lineage: Eukaryota; Viridiplantae; Streptophyta; Magnoliopsida; Myrtales; Myrtaceae.